Molecule: long non-coding RNA, 524 nt
Organism: Pangasianodon hypophthalmus (striped catfish)
Lineage: Eukaryota; Metazoa; Chordata; Actinopteri; Siluriformes; Pangasiidae
Exons: 3
Source: RefSeq, a predicted model, not a curated record
GCUUGGUGAACUUUACUGAAACUGUAUUUUCUCCUGCAUUCUGACUGACAGUAAAACAAUCUUGUCGAGAGAAAAACCUCUGCGUCCUUAAAUGUGGCAAAGAGACAAAUGGCAACGUGACCUGGAGCAGAGAUGUAGAUGGAAAAAGGGAGAAGAUUCUUACCAUCUACAAGGAAACGGUUAUCAAACACAUCACUGAUCCAGACAAACGUUACAGCUCAGGAGCAGGUCUGAUUCUGAGUAUAUUUAAAUUCUCACCUUCAGACGCUGGGCGAUAUUACUGCAAUGAGAACACUGUGGAGCUCAGUGUGAAAUCAAACUCUGAAAUAAUCUCUCAAGAGCGGACUAGGACUGGUGAGUUGUUGCUCGCAGCUGCAGUAGCCGGGGGCUGUGUGCUCGCUUUAGCAUCGGUUCUGGUUAUGUGGAAAUGUUUCUCCAAAAGGAAAGGUAGCGCAGCCAAGACAGAGGAAGAUUCAGCUGAAAAAGGUAAUCACUUAAAACAUUAUCUUCACACACAAUGUCAC